This 377-nucleotide ribosomal RNA is filed under the name uncultured bacterium. RNAcentral describes it as "bacterial SSU rRNA". It matches the Rfam family "Bacterial small subunit ribosomal RNA", at positions 521 to 896 of the family's 1533-position model. The record is from RNAcentral.
UAAUACGUAGGGGGCAAGCGUUGUCCGGAAUCAUUGGGCGUAAAGAGCGUGUAGGCGGCCUGAUAAGUCGGUUGUGAAAGUCAAGGGCUCAACCCUUGAAUGCCGACCGAUACUGUCAGGCUAGAGUCCGGAAGAGGCGAGUGGAAUUCCUGGUGUAGCGGUGAAAUGCGCAGAUAUCAGGAGGAACACCAAUGGCGAAGGCAGCUCGCUGGGACGGUACUGACGCUGAGACGCGAAAGCGUGGGGAGCGAACAGGAUUAGAUACCCUGGUAGUCCACGCCGUAAACGAUGGGCACUAGGUGUGGGAGGUGUCGACUCCUUCCGUGCCGAAGCUAACGCAUUAAGUGCCCCGCCUGGGGAGUACGGCCGCAAGGCUA